GGCGAGCGUAGCCAAGUGGUUAAGGCAGAGGUUUGUGGUUCCUCCACGCGUGGGUUCAAUUCCCAUCGUUCGCC
Molecule: transfer RNA, 74 nt
Filed under: Pseudanabaena sp. ABRG5-3
Lineage: Bacteria; Bacillati; Cyanobacteriota; Cyanophyceae; Pseudanabaenales; Pseudanabaenaceae
Description: tRNA-His
Rfam family: tRNA
About the family: Transfer RNA (tRNA) molecules are approximately 80 nucleotides in length. Their secondary structure includes four short double-helical elements and three loops (D, anti-codon, and T loops). Further hydrogen bonds mediate the characteristic L-shaped molecular structure. tRNAs have two regions of fundamental functional importance: the anti-codon, which is responsible for specific mRNA codon recognition, and the 3' end, to which the tRNAs corresponding amino acid is attached (by aminoacyl-tRNA synthetases). tRNAs cope with the degeneracy of the genetic code in two manners: having more than one tRNA (with a specific anti-codon) for a particular amino acid; and 'wobble' base-pairing, i.e. permitting non-standard base-pairing at the 3rd anti-codon position.
Source: RNAcentral